CCGAUAGGCACUCAUUACCCCGAAUGCCAAUCGAAAUCCUGCAAGGCUUAGCAUCAGCUUCCGCAUCUCCCCAGUGAGCGACAGUUAUUAAAUCUCACAUUUCAAAAAAAUCAUAAGUCAUUUCCAAAUCAAAACAAUAGAAUAUUACUUUCUGGCUCACAGGGGCAUUUUCGUCAUUUUUCUUCGAAAAUACCGAAACUCACCAAAAACAUGGUGUAAAAGCUAAAUAUAUUCAUACAUACUUUAAAUCAAAUAACUGAAGAAUAAAAUUACUUUUACAGUGACACGUGGGCCCCCAACUGACUAAGAAGAUGUAGGGCUAUGAACCCUUACUUUCUAGGAUGUAACUCCGAGAUUAAUUCUCGUCUUAAUCAACUAUCAACAAAUUGUCCUGAGCCUAAAAAAUGGAUAGGAAGAGGGGUGAGAUUAUGAUUACAUAGUCCCAGUGAGUGGACAGAUAUCAUCAAAAUAAUCUAAAGCCGAGUAAUAGGAGACAAUUAAAAUAAUUCAUCCCAACCCAUAUAAAUAAUUGGAUUUCAUUCAAUUACUCAACAUGGCUUAUGCACUUUUCAAAAACUUGGCCCUUGCCAAAAAUCCUUUCUCGGGGAUACCCCGCGGAGGCAUCUUACCGAGACCGCCAAGGCUGUUUAUUGUCACACACACAAACACAUUUCACCUCUGACAACACAGUCGUUCCUUGGCGUUGGCUGAGUCUCACUCUCACGUGGUGGCCCGAACGUGAGGUGCACUCAAAUCGUACCUCGGGAGUUAUCCUACGCGCCUCUCCAAUCGAGGUAAGCUCAAUAAUUGGGAACCGUGCCCCUCUAAUUAGGCUAGCCCACGAAACCCCCGUCUCUGUAGUGCCCACUUUAUAAUCCACCAACCAAUAAAAUUACAAUAGUAUGACAUGGCUCACUUAACACAUUCAAGGCAAAUUAAAGCAGUUCACAUAUUCUUUAAAUCAUAAAAAUAACAAGUCAUACCCACAUGUCUCAUAAGCCAUUUAAUGUAAAAUCAUGGAUAAACAACACAAUCAUAGUGUAGGUCUCCAAUUACUCUAUUUUUGAAAUCAUUAUUAAAUUUGUAAAAAUUUUAUAAAAUUAUUUUAUAAAAUCUCAUUUUCCCAUAAAACAUAAUAAUUUUCCAAUUAAACCAUUUUUCCAUAAAAUCACACAAUUAAAUAAAUCUACUAUAGAUAAUUAAGACGAUAGUAAGUUUACUCACAGUUCUAGGAGUCGAUAUACUCCUAUUUUCAGUCCACGGGUACAGUCUUCUACCCGUAUCUAAUGGCUCACCACCUAGCCAUAAUCCAUGGCACAUAUUUCAAUUAAAUUGUGUCUAACAGUCAUAAGCUAUUUCAGGCUCGAUAUAUAUGCAUGAGAUGAAAUGAAAAAUGCAUGGGUGGCCAUCUAGACCUAGUAUUGGCCUAAGUCGAUUUUUCAUCCGAUAAAUUGGCCAAUGCGUCCAAUUUCACUCAAACUUUCUCAAUUUCUUUUCCAAUCCCUCAAUUCACCAAGCACAACUAAUUAACACAUAAUUAGGCAAAUUUAUCUUCACUUUUCUUCUUGGAACUUUCGGCCAACAAUGGUACACUAACUCUGUGAUUUUUCCUACUUAAUUUUCUCUCCAUAAUUCAUUAAUUCCUACAUAAAAAACUAUUAUUUCUUAAUCAAAUCACCUAGAACAACAUCCCAUUCUUCCUCUUUAUUCACUUAGAGAAUUCGGCUAUUGAUGGGCACCAAACCUUUGGUGGUUUUCUUCACUUGUUUUCAUGCUACACAUCAUUAAUCACCUAAAAACACUAACAUACCUAAAAAUCAAACCAAUCCAAGAUCAUUCUCUCUCCAUACCCAUUUUGAUCAGCCAUGAAUUCAUCAUGAAAAUAUGUAAUUUAACCAUGGAAAUUAAGGGAAAAUGCAUGGGUAAGGUAAAUCACUAGCAAAAUCAAAGAAAUUUUACCUUUGCUUGAUCAAAUCCUUGAAUUCCAACACUUUCUCUUUGAUUUAUCCCACCUAGGGUUUGUUUUUCC
Molecule: long non-coding RNA, 2029 nt
Filed under: Theobroma cacao (cacao)
Lineage: Eukaryota; Viridiplantae; Streptophyta; Magnoliopsida; Malvales; Malvaceae
Description: long non-coding RNA (TCAC_LNC001811)
Source: RNAcentral